RNAcentral lists this ribosomal RNA (525 nucleotides) under uncultured bacterium. Its description in RNAcentral is "bacterial SSU rRNA". It matches the Rfam family "Bacterial small subunit ribosomal RNA", at positions 984 to 1509 of the family's 1533-position model. The record is from RNAcentral.
ACAUCCAGAGAACUUAGCAGAGAUGCUUUGGUGCCUUCGGGAACUCUGAGACAGGUGCUGCAUGGCUGUCGUCAGCUCGUGUUGUGAAAUGUUGGGUUAAGUCCCGCAACGAGCGCAACCCUUAUCCUUUGUUGCCAGCGGUUCGGCCGGGAACUCAAAGGAGACUGCCGGUGAUAAACCGGAGGAAGGUGGGGAUGACGUCAAGUCAUCAUGGCCCUUACGGCCAGGGCUACACACGUGCUACAAUGGCGCAUACAAAGAGAAGCGACCUCGCGAGAGCAAGCGGACCUCAUAAAGUGCGUCGUAGUCCGGAUUGGAGUCUGCAACUCGACUCCAUGAAGUCGGAAUCGCUAGUAAUCGUAGAUCAGAAUGCUACGGUGAAUACGUUCCCGGGCCUUGUACGCACCGCCCGUCACACCAUGGGAGUGGGUUGCAAAAGAAGUAGGUAGCUUAACCUUCGGGAGGGCGCUUACCACUUUGUGAUUCAUGACUGGGGUGAAGUCGUAACAAGGUAGGCGUAGUGCU